UAAAUGAGUAUUUAAAUGAUUAAAAUCCAUAUAAAGCUCCAUGAAAAAGUUAGAAAGGAGAAAAGGUACAGUGCUAGGGUUAUGUAGGGAAGCAAAAUUUUCCAUCCCCCAAAAUGCAUCUCUUCAGCCUGAGGAUUUGUUUAUGNUGACUAUUUUUAAAAAACAGAAGCAUCAGGAUGUUUUUUUUCUUACCUUCCCAUUUACUGUCUAGAGGAAUUUAGGUAAAGGGCCUGACUGGGAAUCGAACUAUCAUCAGAGAUAGCAGAGCAAAUGAAAAGCCAUGGACUCUGCUUACCAUCCUUCUCCCAGACUCCUUUUCUUCCACAUAAAAGCAUUCUCCUUCCCUUGCUAUUCAGGGACUUGCACUUGGCUGCCCUGGUUGCAGACCCUAAACUGCACUUCUCUGCUGAUCCCAAAUAAGCUUAUGCUUUCUGGACAAAUAUUUAGCAGUCUGUUUGUUUCAGUUCAACACACCAAACUUUGGCGAGAGACCAUAAGUAGUUUCAUAGCCCACCUUCCACUGAGAGCACUGAGAGUGUCUUUUUUUUUUUUCCUGGGUAAACAAUGAUCUGAGUUUUGAGGAGACAGAUUAUUUCCUUAAUCCAAUCAAUCAUUAAGGUGUUAUUUAAACAGCCUGUGCCUCUUCCAUGCUUAAUAUGAUUCAGUUUACCAAAGUAAAUGCAAAAAAAAAGGCUUUCAGAAACAUAACACUAUUUUUUAGCAAUAGGAAAUGCUCCUCACCCUGCCUCCUUUACAUAAUGCUGCCUGAGGAUGAUUAGAAAUAUUCACAGGUGAUAUUUAAAUUAGGCAAAAAAUGUGUAUUUGUUGCAAAACAAGUGAACAAAGGAAAUGGAGAUAAACACAGGGUGUUUCAUCAUCUGAAGACAUUUUCUCUAGCUUCCUAACAGAGGGCAAUUUAAUUCCGAAAGAUUGCAUGUAUUGAUUGAAGUACUGGCCUCUAGAUACUGAACAGAUGAAUGAAACCAAUGAAAAGGGCACUUACUGUUCACAUUUCCCAAUAUGAGUGAACAAGUAUUAAUAAAAGCAGAGAGUUAAUUUUAGAAAAUGGCACUUGCCCCUAAAGAUCGCAUUUAUUGAAAAUGUUUUGUAAAAUGGGGUUGUAGGUUAUUAGCCUAAAACGUACACGGCUUAAAAGAGAGUGAAGCCAGAGAGCGCAGCUGCCAGGGAGAAUGGCUUCAGAUGCUGCUCUGGAGAGAGAUGUCCGCCUCAGCUGCCUGAAGCAGAACCGGGACUUAAGGGAGCUUCUAACCCGGGGAAUGGCUUUUAUAGGGUUGUGGAAGCUUGUGAAUAUCUGCUUUUCAAUUUUAGCUCUUCUGUUGCUCCUGCUCACUCUCCACAUUUCUAGAUUAUAGGUCCUUUUCCAGACUGUUGUCUCCCUAAUGGUGCUUGCAAGCAGGUGUGCCUUGAGUAAUGGGAGGUGUGAUCUCCUCAGGGAGUUUAUAUCUGAAAUCUAUACAUUAGAAGAACGGAAAGAAAAAAGAAUACCUGCAGAUCAUGUGUAGUCUCUUAAAAGAAGUAUCUGUCUCUGACAUAUAGCAUAUAAAACCAAUAAAUCGCCUUGCAGGUGACUAAGGAGAUGAGUUAGAAAGAAGAAGCAUUAACCGUCUUUCAGAUGGUCAGGUUCUUUGGGUGGUGAGCUAGGUUUUACAAAUGUUAGUGAUUUUAAUCUUUACAAAAAUUCUAUGAUAACACCCAUGAUUGAAAGGGUGGGUAGAUUGAGGCUUAGAUAGGGUAACAUGUCCAAGGUUCAGAUCACUGUGAAUUGGCUUAGUCUAUUUAGUCUGUCUGAAUGAUUAGGUUCUUUUGGUAGCCAUGUCAAAGAAAAAUUUGCAUGGGACAAUACUAAACUGGCAAGGAAGGUUUUAUUCAAGGCUUUUACAUUCGUUGUGGGAGACCACAAUUAUGGCCGAACUCACCUCUGCUAUAAUAAAGAGCUGGAGUAGGACAAUCUUAGGUCAUCUGUGUUUGCUAAUUGGCUUUAUCCAAAGGAAAAAUAAACUUCCUUUUAUUCAUGGCAGGAGAUAAUUUUACAGUGUGGAGUAAGAUGCCCUCCAACAUUAGGCUCAUACCCUCCCAAGGAAACUUGGGAGAAGGGGCUCUGUCUUCCUCAGUGAUUACAUUUCAGAAGGAUGGCUCCCAGGGCUUUGAGGAAGAUAGUCAUAGGUUGGAAAAUUGGCAAGAAGCUUUUGAAAAGAUUUACAUAUAAAACAUAAAGAGGAAGAAUUUAUAGUUACAGGUUUUUUUGGGGGCAAAUGCUCUAGGAAAGGGAGAUCAGGAUCAAGAGGCGGGAAGAAGGCUGACAAAUUUAGUCAGACUGAGGGAGGUGCUGAGGCCCUGGGUCUUGGUCAGUCCUCCCUUUUGUUCCAGGGAAGCCAGGCAUCCAUUGAACAGCUUAAGAAAGCAAGUCCAUGUAGUUUGUUUAGCAUAUUUCUGUGAUCAAAGGACUGUUUGGAACGUCUGCUGAGACUUGGAUGGUGUGAGCAAUCAGGCAUUUUAAUAAGGAGGAUUUAUAUGGAAAUAAAAAGGAGAACAAAGACUAGCAUUGGAUCUGACUCUAAACCUAGAUCUUGAGCCCAGAGGGCAGGCAGUUGAGAUGAUUCCUAGACAUUGGGCUUGAAGCAUCUUUAGAUGGUGCACUGAGUAUGGCAGUGGCAAUCUGAGAUUUCCCCAUUUGCUUCUGGGAUAUUAUUGGUGAUGGCAUAGACAUUAGAGAUGUUUUGGUAAGAUUGUACACAGGAUUGGUUAUUUUCCAUGGAGGAGGUGGAAGUUCUGGUGAACUUCCUGAGGUGUCUGAGAGUUGCAGCUCCAGCUGUAAAGGCUGCCCACACAUGAUCUGCUGAGUGAUGGUACUUUGAAGUUAUGUGGAAUCAUCUGGCUGCAGCUCACAGGGUACUUCAGAGCCUGGGGUGGGGGGAAAGACCAGCUACAAGACAGUCUAGGGCCCCACUAAGGAUUUGGGGGGGGGAGUGUUAGUUUUAGUUCUGACUCCAGUCAGUUGGGUGGGAGAAAAAUUAGAAAUGUAAGUUUGGAGGGUUGUAGUUAUAUGUUGAUAAAAACUGCAGAAAUUUAAAAUUUGGUAAGGGCUGACAAUUUGUGCAAGGUAAAAGGAUCUAGCAUAAUUUACAGGUAGGAAACAAUACCAUUCAGUUUAAAGAGAAGUAAAAAAUAGCUGAAAAAAAUGAAUAUGCCAGAAUCCGAUAAUGCACAAGGCUGUAGUAGAGUUUUCUCUUGAAACAAUUUCUCUCCAAGAAGGGGACCUUCCUAUACUUUUGGUGGGAAUGUAAAUUGGUGCAGCCAUUAUGGAGACCAGUAUGGAGAUUCCUCAAAAAACUAAAAAUAGAGUUGCCGUAUGAUCCAGCAAUCCAACUCCUGGGCAUAUAUCCAGACAAAACUGUAGCUUGAAAAGAUGACAUGCAUCCCUAUAUUCAUAGCAGCACUAUUUACAACAGCCAAGAUAUUUAAACAACCUAAAAGUUCAUUGAUGAAUGGAAGAAUGGAUAAAGAAGACAUGGUACAUAUAUAAUGGAAUAUCACUCAGCUAUAAAAAAGAAUGAAAUAAUGCCAUUUGCAGCAACACAAUCAACCUAAAGAUUAUCAUACUAAGGGAAGUAAAUAAGGAAAAAACAAAUACCGUAUAAUAUCACUUAUUUGUGGAGUCUAAAAUAUAGCCUACACGAACCUAUCUGCAAAACAGAAAUAGCCUUAUAGACAUAGAAAACAGACUUGUGAUUGCUAAAGGGAAUGAGAAGAUGGGAGAGAAAAGGAUUGGGGGUCUGGGAUUAGCAGAUGCAAACUAUUAUAUAUGGGGUGGAUGAACAACGAGGUCCUACUUUAUAGCACAGGAAAUUAUAUUCAAUAUCCUGUGAUAAACCAUGAUGGAAAUUAUGGAAAAGAAUAUAUAUAUAUAUUGAUAUGUAAUAUAAUCAAUUUGCUGUACAGCAGAAAUUAAUACAAUAUCAGCUAUACUUCAAUAAAAUAGAAAAAUUCUCUUCACAGUUGCCUCACUUUUGAUUGGUGAUAAUCAAAGUAAAAUUACUUUCCAUUGUAAAAUAAAUAUAGUCUCAUUAGAUUUGGCCUGAUUAUUUACAGAGGUGCAGCAAGAAUGGUAAUUAACCACAUAUGUCUUUUAAAGUUUGCUUUGCUGAAAGCUUUUAUAAGGAAUUUCAGGUUGAACUUUUAAAAGCUUGCUAAGCCUAGGAAGCUGAGCCAGGAACUUGCUACCAGGUUUCACCAGCAGUACUUAUAGAUUUGGAUGAAUUUCUCUCUUCUUGAUUUCACCUGCAGUACUCAUAGAUUUGGAUGAAUUCCUCUCUUCUUGAGGUCCCCAACAUCCAAUUUUCCAAGCCUUCCAGGAGUGACUUCCCUUAUUCACCUAUAAGCCUAGUACAAGGCUAGUUUUCCCAAGAAGACUUUACAAGUAUUGGCUGCAUAAAGUUGAUCUUAUUUCCUUGAAAUUGUUUGGUCACAUCUGGUUUUAUGCACAUCAUUCUCAAGUAUUUCACUAGAGUUGAAGCUUUGGUUAUAUAAUUAAUAUUUCUAAUUAUGUUCUGUUACAAGGAGGACAGAUUUUUUUUCUUUUUAUGGCUGCAACUGCAUCAUAUGGAAGUUCUUGGGCUAAAGGUUGAAUUAGGGUUAUAGCUGCUAGCCUACCUCACAGCCAUAGCAACACUAAAUCCAAGCCACAUCUGUGACCUAUGAUGCAGCUUGUGGCAACUCCAGAACCUUAUCCUACUGAGUGAGGCCAGGAAUUGAGCCUGCAUCCUCAUGGACAGUGUGUUGGGUUCUUAACCCACUGAGCCACAAUGGGAACUCCAGGAGGACAUAUUUUUUUUUUAAAUUGAACAUAUAAUAAAUAAUUGUAUUGCUAUGAAAUUAAGAGUACUCAAAAUUGGAGUUCCCAUUGUGGUUCAGUGGACACUAAUAUGAGAAUCUAUAUAUAUAAGAGAUUGUUUUAGGUUGUUCAUCUCUUAAUUGCAAGUUUAUCUCCAGUGUCAUGCAUUUGUACCCUCCUCUUCUCAUGAUUUCUGAUUUUGAUGGCAUAAUCGUGCAUGGAUGGUUUCAUACUUUUUCUGUAUAUAUACCUUUACUGGUGAGCCUUGUCAUUUGUGGUAUUUUUGUUUCCUGUUGCAGCUUUUCUUUUCUGCCUAGAGAAGUUCCUUUCGUAUUUGUUGUAAGGCUGGUUUAGUGUUGCUGAAUUCUCUUAGCCUUUGCUUAUCUGUGAAGCUUUUGGUUUCUCCUUCAAAUCUGAAUGAGAGCCUUGCUGGGUAGAGUAAUCUUGGUUGGAGGUUUUUUCCUUUCAUCACACUAAGUAUAUCAUGCCACUCCCUUCUGGCCUGCAGAGUUUCUGCUGAAAAAUCUGCCAAUAGCCUUAUCGGGGUUCCCUUGCAUGUUACUUGUUUCUUUUCCCUAGCUGCUUUCAAGAUUUUCUCUUUGUCUUUAGUGUUGGUCAGUUUGAUUAAUAUGUGUCUCGGGGUAUUCCUCC
RNAcentral lists this long non-coding RNA (5503 nucleotides) under Sus scrofa (pig). RNAcentral's name for it is "lncRNA (ENSSSCG00065070053.1)". Lineage: Eukaryota; Metazoa; Chordata; Mammalia; Artiodactyla; Suidae. The record is from RNAcentral.